UACAGAGGUCUCAAGCGUUGUUCGGAUUCAUUGGGCGUAAAGGGUGCGUAGGCGGCGCGGUAAGUCGGGUGUGAAAUCUCGGAGCUUAACUCCGAAACUGCAUUCGAUACUGCCGUGCUUGAGGACUGGAGAGGAGACUGGAAUUUACAGUGUAGCGGUGAAAUGCGUAGAUAUCGUAAGGAAGACCAGUGGCGAAGGCGGGUCUCUGGACAGGUUCCU
This 219-nucleotide ribosomal RNA is filed under the name uncultured bacterium. RNAcentral describes it as "partial 16S ribosomal RNA". It matches the Rfam family "Bacterial small subunit ribosomal RNA", at positions 524 to 741 of the family's 1533-position model. The record is from RNAcentral.